RNAcentral lists this ribosomal RNA (468 nucleotides) under uncultured bacterium. RNAcentral describes it as "partial 16S ribosomal RNA". It matches the Rfam family "Bacterial small subunit ribosomal RNA", at positions 28 to 507 of the family's 1533-position model. The record is from RNAcentral.
GAUGAACGCUGGCGGCGUGCUUAACACAUGCCAGUCGAACGGAAAGGCCCAAGCUUGCUUGGGUACUCGAGUGGCGAACGGGUGAGUAACACGUGGGUGAUCUGCCCUGCACUUCGGGAUAAGCCUGGGAAACUGGGUCUAAUACCGGAUAGGACGAUGGUUUGGAUGCCAUUGUGGAAAGUUUUUUCGGUGUGGGAUGAGCUCGCGGCCUAUCAGCUUGUUGGUGGGGUAAUGGCCUACCAAGGCGUCGACGGGUAGCCGGCCUGAGAGGGUGUACGGCCACAUUGGGACUGAGAUACGGCCCAGACUCCUACGGGAGGCAGCAGUGGGGAAUAUUGCGCAAUGGGCGCAAGCCUGAUGCAGCGACGCCGCGUGGGGGAUGACGGCCUUCGGGUUGUAAACUCCUUUCGCUAGGGACGAAGCGUUUUUGUGACGGUACCUGGAGAAGAAGCACCGGCUAACUACGUG